AAUCUUCCACAAUUGGCGAAAGCCUGCUGGAGCAACGCCGCGUGAGUGAAGAAGGUUUUCGGAUCGUAUAACUCUGCUGUAUGGGAAGAACAAGUACAGUAGUAACUGGCUGUACCUUGACGGUACCUUAUUAGAAAGCCACGGCUAGCUACGUUCCAGCAGCCGCGGUAAUACGUAGGUGGCAAGCGUUGUCCGGAUUUAUUGGGCGUAAAGCGCGCGCAGGCGGUCUUUUAAGACUGAUGUGAAAACUUACAGCUUAACUGUAAGCGGUCAUUGGAAACUGGGAGACUUGAGUGCAGAAGAGGAGAGUGGAAUUCCAUGUGUAGCGGUGAAAUGCGUAGAGAUAUGGAGGAACACCAGUGGCGAAGGCGACUCUCUGGUCUGUAACUGACGCUGAGGCGCGAAAGCGUGGGGAUCAAACA
RNAcentral lists this ribosomal RNA (422 nucleotides) under uncultured bacterium. Its description in RNAcentral is "partial 16S ribosomal RNA". It matches the Rfam family "Bacterial small subunit ribosomal RNA", at positions 360 to 774 of the family's 1533-position model. The record is from RNAcentral.